This 460-nucleotide ribosomal RNA is filed under the name uncultured bacterium. Its description in RNAcentral is "partial 16S ribosomal RNA". It matches the Rfam family "Bacterial small subunit ribosomal RNA", at positions 338 to 795 of the family's 1533-position model. The record is from RNAcentral.
CCUACGGGAGGCAGCAGUGAGGAAUAUUGGUCAAUGGACGAGAGUCUGAACCAGCCAAGUAGCGUGAAGGAUGACUGCCCUAUGGGUUGUAAACUUCUUUUAUAAGGGAAUAAAACGAGGCACGUGUGCCUUUUUGCAUGUACUUUAUGAAUAAGGAUCGGCUAACUCCGUGCCAGCAGCCGCGGUAAUACGGAGGAUCCGAGCGUUUUCCGGAUUUAUUUGGGUUAAAGGGAGCGUAGAUGGGUUGUUAAGUCAGUUGUGAAAGUUUGCGGCUCAACCGUAAAAUUGCCAUUGAUACUGGCAGUCUUGAGUACAGUUGAGGUAGGCGGAAUUCGUGGUGUAGCGGUGAAAUGCUUAGAUAUCACGAAGAACCCCGAUUGCGAAGGCAGCUUACUAAACUGUGACUGACAUUGAUGCUCGAAAGUGUGGGUAUCAAACAGGAUUAGAUACCCUGGUAGUC